UGCAAAAUGACCGUUAAUACCGCAGGAUAUUAUGUCAACGGGACCUACCGGCUCGCUCUCAUGCUUGAGGAUUACGUUCCAUAUAAGGUUAUCGUUGGAUCCAGACAGCAUAGCCCGGGAACUGCGUUCAGCAAAACACAUUGACAGAUGACCUUACGAAUAAUACAAGUGCCGUGUGAUAAUACACUGAGGCCAGACUUUGUUAUUCCAACGCCGAGAAAUAAUGUUCGAGCCGUCUACACGAAAAACAGGUAAAAGGAAAUGGGCUUCCUGUUACCUAUGCACUCCAACCACCCGACUUAAAAGCAGUACAUCGAAUAGCUAGUUUUUUUCAGUCUUUCAGUUAACGGAUUAAUUGAGUUGCGUUCUGAGAAAACUGGGCAUAUUGCAUGUGCUUAAAGUGUCAUACCAGAUUAGCUUGUGCAGUCCGCACAGGCUAAUCUGGGACGACACUUUCCGCACAUGCAAUAUGCCCAGUUUUCUCAAAACGCGACUCAAUUAAUGGAUGUCAAAAAUUAUUUUACCGGUUAAUUGUUUAAAAACAUG
This is a long non-coding RNA of Dreissena polymorpha, 546 nucleotides long. RefSeq lists it as uncharacterized. The transcript is spliced from 3 exons. NCBI's taxonomy places the organism in Eukaryota, Metazoa, Mollusca, Bivalvia, Myida, Dreissenidae. The record is from RefSeq and is a predicted model, not a curated record.